UGGGGAAUUUUGGACAAUGGGCGCAAGCCUGAUCCAGCGACGCCGCGUGGAGGACGAAGGCCUUCGGGUUGUAAACUCCUUUUGGAGGGGAAGAAUAAAUUGACGGUACCCUCAGAAAAAGCCACGGCUAACUACGUGCCAGCAGCCGCGGUAAUACGUAGGUGGCGAGCGUUACUCGGAAUUACUAGGCGUAAAGCGUAUGUAGGUGGUUAGAUAAGUCUAUGGUGAAAUUUCCUGGCUUAACUGGGAAGGGACAUAGAUACUAUCUAGCUUGAGUGUGGGAGGGGGAGACGGAAUUCCUGGUGUAGCGGUGAAAUGCGUAGAUAUCAGGAGGAACACCGAUGGCGAAAGCAGUCUCCUGGCCCAAUACUGACACUGAGGUACGAAAGCUAGGGUAGCAAACA
Molecule: ribosomal RNA, 404 nt
Filed under: uncultured bacterium
Lineage: Bacteria
Description: bacterial SSU rRNA
Rfam family: Bacterial small subunit ribosomal RNA
Source: RNAcentral